This 892-nucleotide ribosomal RNA is filed under the name Paraconiothyrium iridis. RNAcentral's name for it is "partial large subunit ribosomal RNA". It matches the Rfam family "Eukaryotic large subunit ribosomal RNA", at positions 32 to 941 of the family's 3401-position model. Lineage: Eukaryota; Fungi; Ascomycota; Dothideomycetes; Pleosporales; Didymosphaeriaceae. The record is from RNAcentral.
ACUUAAGCAUAUCAAUAAGCGGAGGAAAAGAAACCAACAGGGAUUGCCCUAGUAACGGCGAGUGAAGCGGCAACAGCUCAAAUUUGAAAUCUGGCUCUCUUUGGGGGUCCGAGUUGUAAUUUGCAGAGGAUGCUUUGGCAUUGGCGGCGGUCUAAGUUCCUUGGAACAGGACAUCGCAGAGGGUGAGAAUCCCGUACGUGGGCGCCUGCCUUUGCCGUGUAAAGCUCCUUCGACGAGUCGAGUUGUUUGGGAAUGCAGCUCUAAAUGGGAGGUAAAUUUCUUCUAAAGCUAAAUACCGGCCAGAGACCGAUAGCGCACAAGUAGAGUGAUCGAAAGAUGAAAAGUACUUUGGAAAGAGAGUCAAAAAGCACGUGAAAUUGUUGAAAGGGAAGCGCUUGCAGCCAGACUUGCCCGCAGUUGCUCACCUAGGCUAUGGCCUGGGGCACUCUUCUGUGGGCAGGCCAGCAUCAGUUUGGGCGGUCGGAUAAAGGCCUCUGUCAAGUAUCUCCCUUCGGGGUGACCUUAUAGGGGAGGCGUAAUGCGACCAGCCCGGACUGAGGUCCGCGCAUCUGCUAGGAUGCUGGCGUAAUGGCUGUAAGCGGCCCGUCUUGAAACACGGACCAAGGAGUCUAACAUCUAUGCGAGUGUUUGGGUGUCAAGCCCGGGCGCGCAAUGAAAGUGAACGGAGGUGGGAACCCUUUGGGUGCACCAUCGACCGAUCCUGAUGUCUUCGGAUGGAUUUGAGUAAGAGCAUAGCUGUUGGGACCCGAAAGAUGGUGAACUAUGCUUGAAUAGGGUGAAGCCAGAGGAAACUCUGGUGGAGGCUCGCAGCGGUUCUGACGUGCAAAUCGAUCGUCAAAUUUGGGCAUAGGGGCGAAAGACUAAUCGAACC